UGUCCUCGUGCAGCCGGCGGACCACGCUUUCCUUGUGUCAGUCGCCGCUACAGAAGUUGGGACAAAGUGUCUGCCGCACCAAGCGUCCUUCGUGUCUGGUUUUUCGCGCAGCUCGCCUUGCAGGCUCCCUCCGGCAAGUUUGAAAAGACUUGACCCUGCUCACGCUGCAGCCGCUGCUACCAAGGUGCAGCAUAGUCAGAUCAUUGGCCUCUGGAAAUCGGUCCUAGGAUUGCCUCCGCAAUCUGGUGCCGGCCAGAUGUUUGGGACUUGGACUCCUAUCAGCCCCAACCAGCAUGCUCAACGAUCAGGAAUGCUAGCAACUGUCGCGAAAUAUUUGGAAGGCACCAGCUUGAGACAAAGGCUACCCUAUAGAGUUCGGAUAAUGCUUAAAGACUGAUAUGACAACACUGAAAGGAUAGACUGAGGACGUUGCUUUCAAUAUUUGAAUGGUCAGAUCAGAACUAUAUUGGAUCACCUAACAUUUCAGCCUGAAAAUGCCAGACUACAUAGACUACUAGACCAAAACUCCAGUGCCUACAGCAGUAAGUGUUUCAAAAGAGGGAAGGGUUAAAAUCUGCCCUUUCUAGAGCAGCUGGAGACCUUGAUAAAGUGUCAAAAGGUAAGAACUCUCAGUUUAAUACAUGAAAUCCUGAAGUUUACAUUGCUAAACUGAAGAACUUUUCACCACUAUUCUGGUGCACUAACUUCCACUAGUGAUUUCCAAUACUCAGUUUGGCAAUUGUGUGCACAUUCUUGCCUUGCCAGUUUUAAUCUGUGUUACCAAUUACACUUCAAUCCCUUAGAAAGCUGAAAUUGACAGAGACUUUGUGCAGGCGAGACUACAACUGACAGCCAGAAGUGCCCAGUAGGGCACCUCCAAGAGAACAUUUGGACACAUUUCUGGGGCUGCUUUUUAAAAAGGUGGAUUGAGUAAACCAUAGAACAGGUCAUAACAAAUGGUUUAUUGCCUCCAAAGAAGCCAUUUUGCAAGUAGUGAUCUAGGUUUGGACAAUGUGGUAGCCCACUGUGGCUAGUUACACAUAACAGGCUGCUGUGUUGUGUAAAUCCAGUCCAUCAUAGGAUAUUAUGAAGUGUGUAAGUCACUUGCUCAUCUAAUUUCCAGUGAAUCCAGGUAAAGUCUGUGAAAAUGCACCAUGAAGACUUCAAGGUGAGUGGUAAGAUAGAAACCUGAUCAUUCCCAAUUUGUGUGCAUAUUUUCCUCAGUCAAGUAAGUUCAUCCCAAAUUUCUUUUACAUUCACUGUGGAAAUAAUGUGACUUCCAUAAAUUAAUCUAUGUUUCAUUUCUAUUCUACCCAUAGCCAAGGUUUUCU
This is a long non-coding RNA of Varanus komodoensis (Komodo dragon), 1331 nucleotides long. RefSeq lists it as uncharacterized. The record is from RefSeq and is a predicted model, not a curated record. NCBI's taxonomy places the organism in Eukaryota, Metazoa, Chordata, Lepidosauria, Squamata, Varanidae. The transcript has 3 exons.